GAUGAACGCUAGCGACAGGCCUAACACAUGCAAGUCGAGGGGCAGCGCGGAAGUAGCUUGCUAUUUCUGGCGGCGACCGGCGCACGGGUGAGUAACGCGUAUCCAACCUUCCCCUUAGUAGAGGAUAGCCCGGCGAAAGUCGGAUUAAUACUCUAUGUUGUAUUUUGAGGACAUCUGACGAAUACCAAAGAUUUAUCGCUAAGGGAUGGGGAUGCGUCUGAUUAGCUUGUUGGCGGGGUAACGGCCCACCAAGGCAACGAUCAGUAGGGGUUCUGAGAGGAAGGUCCCCCACAUUGGUACUGAGACACGGACCAAACUCC
RNAcentral lists this ribosomal RNA (320 nucleotides) under uncultured Prevotella sp. RNAcentral's name for it is "bacterial SSU rRNA". It matches the Rfam family "Bacterial small subunit ribosomal RNA", at positions 28 to 339 of the family's 1533-position model. Lineage: Bacteria; Pseudomonadati; Bacteroidota; Bacteroidia; Bacteroidales; Prevotellaceae. The record is from RNAcentral.